GACGUAGGGCGCGAGCGUUGUCCGGAUUUAUUGGGCGUAAAGAGCUCGUAGGCGCCUGUCGCGUCGACCGUGAAAACCCGCAGCUCAACUGCGGGCUUGCGGUCGAUACGGGCAGGCUGGAGUCCGGAAGAGGAGAGUGGAAUUCCUGGUGUAGCGGUGAAAUGCGCAGAUAUCAGGAAGAACACCCGUGGCUAAGGCGGCUCUCUAGUACGGUACUGACGCUGAGACGCGAAAGCGUGGGGAGCGAACAGG
RNAcentral lists this ribosomal RNA (252 nucleotides) under uncultured bacterium. RNAcentral's name for it is "partial 16S ribosomal RNA". It matches the Rfam family "Bacterial small subunit ribosomal RNA", at positions 524 to 776 of the family's 1533-position model. The record is from RNAcentral.